RNAcentral lists this ribosomal RNA (479 nucleotides) under uncultured bacterium. RNAcentral's name for it is "bacterial SSU rRNA". It matches the Rfam family "Bacterial small subunit ribosomal RNA", at positions 19 to 518 of the family's 1533-position model. The record is from RNAcentral.
CUGGCUCAGGACGAACGCUGGCGGCAUGCCUAACACAUGCAAGUCGAACGGAAGUAGCAAUACUUAGUGGCGAACGGGUGAGUAACACGUGAGCAACCUGCCUUAUACUCAGGGAUAACAGUUGGAAACGACUGCUAAUACCGGAUAAGACCACACUAUGGCAUCAUAGAGGGGUCAAAGUGCUUUAGCGGUAUGAGAUGGGCUCGCGUCCAAUUAGCUAGUUGGUGGGGUAACGGCCCACCAAGGCGACGAUUGGUAGCCGACUUGAGAGAGUGAUCGGCCACACUGGAACUGAGACACGGUCCAGACUCCUACGGGAGGCAGCAGUGGGGAAUAUUGGGCAAUGGAGGAAACUCUUUAACCCCCAGCAAUGCCGCGUGAGUGAUGAAGGUCUUUGGAUUGUAAAGCUCUUUGAUUGGGGAAGAAUAAAUGACGGUACCCAAAGAACAAGCCCCGGCUAACUAUGUGCCAGCAGCCGC